GAUGAACGCUAGCGGCAGGCUUAACACAUGCAAGUCGAGGGGUAUGCCGAUUUAUCGGCAGAGACCGGCGCACGGGUGCGUAACGCGUAUGCAAUCUACCUUUCACAGAGGGAUAGCCCAGAGAAAUUUGGAUUAAUACCUCAUAGUAUAGCAGUUUCGCAUGAAACCACUAUUAAAGUCACAACGGUGAAAGAUGAGCAUGCGUCCCAUUAGCUAGUUGGUAAGGUAACGGCUUACCAAGGCAACGAUGGGUAGGGGUCCUGAGAGGGAGAUCCCCCACACUGGUACUGAGACACGGACCAGACUCCUACGGGAGGCAGCAGUGAGGAAUAUUGGACAAUGGGCGCAAGCCUGAUCCAGCCAUGCCGCGUGCAGGAUGACGGUCCUAUGGAUUGUAAACUGCUUUUAUACAAGAAGAAACACUACUUCGUGAAGUAGCUUGACGGUACUGUAAGAAUAAGGAUCGGCUAACUCCGUGCCAGC
Molecule: ribosomal RNA, 483 nt
Filed under: uncultured bacterium
Lineage: Bacteria
Description: bacterial SSU rRNA
Rfam family: Bacterial small subunit ribosomal RNA
Source: RNAcentral